UGGUUCUAGCAUCGAUGAAGAACGCAGCGAAAUGCGAUAAGUAAUGUGAAUUGCAGAAUUUUGUGAAUCAUCGAAUUUUUGAACGCACAUUGCACCUUUUGGUAUUCCGAAAGGUAUGCCUAUUCGAGCGUCAUUUCACCUAUCAAACAUCAGUUUGGUUUUGAGUUAAAUCUAUAUAGAUUGACUUCAAAAGAAAUUAGUUUUGGUACAAUGAUCUGUAUUCUAAAACUAUUUUUCAAUACUUUUUUAAUGGUUGACCUCGAAUUAGGUAGGAUUACCCGCUGA
Molecule: unclassified non-coding RNA, 285 nt
Filed under: uncultured fungus
Lineage: Eukaryota; Fungi
Description: partial contains 5.8S ribosomal RNA and internal transcribed spacer 2
Rfam family: 5.8S ribosomal RNA (bases 1-133)
Source: RNAcentral